RNAcentral lists this ribosomal RNA (559 nucleotides) under Enterococcus faecalis. RNAcentral describes it as "partial 23S ribosomal RNA". It matches the Rfam family "Bacterial large subunit ribosomal RNA", at positions 1570 to 2142 of the family's 2925-position model. Lineage: Bacteria; Bacillati; Bacillota; Bacilli; Lactobacillales; Enterococcaceae. The record is from RNAcentral.
AGCGAAAUAAUAGUAGCGAAGUUCCUGAUGUCACACUGCCAAGAAAAGCUUCUAGUGAGAAAACAACUGCCCGUACCGUAAACCGACACAGGUAGUCGAGGAGAGUAUCCUAAGGUGAGCGAGCGAACUCUCGUUAAGGAACUCGGCAAAAUGACCCCGUAACUUCGGGAGAAGGGGUGCUGACUUCGGUCAGCCGCAGUGAAUAGGCCCAAGCGACUGUUUAUCAAAAACACAGGUCUCUGCAAAAUCGUAAGAUGAAGUAUAGGGGCUGACGCCUGCCCGGUGCUGGAAGGUUAAGAGGAUGGGUUAGCUUCGGCGAAGCUCAGAAUUGAAGCCCCAGUAAACGGCGGCCGUAACUAUAACGGUCCUAAGGUAGCGAAAUUCCUUGUCGGGUAAGUUCCGACCCGCACGAAAGGCGUAACGAUUUGGGCACUGUCUCAACGAGAGACUCGGUGAAAUUUUAGUACCUGUGAAGAUGCAGGUUACCCGCGACAGGACGGAAAGACCCCAUGGAGCUUUACUGUAGUUUGAUAUUGAGUGUUUGUACCACAUGUACAGG